Alosa sapidissima (American shad) is the source of this 364-nucleotide long non-coding RNA. RefSeq lists it as uncharacterized. The record is from RefSeq and is a predicted model, not a curated record. Lineage: Eukaryota; Metazoa; Chordata; Actinopteri; Clupeiformes; Clupeidae. The transcript is spliced from 2 exons.
UAGUUGUAAUAAAUAUGUUAGGGGGUCACUACUAAUGUUUGUGUGUUUUGUGAAAACUCUAUGUCAUAACUAAAAGAAAUGAGUUGAUUGUACUAUUUAAGUGAAAUAUACAGUGCACUGAUCAUGUUAAGCAGAGACAACGAUAAAUGUUAUGUUUUUGCAAGGCAGAGGAGGGGUCUAAAAAAAUUCUGCCCAUCAACCAUUCCUCCUGCUUCUCAGUCCAGAUGAAUGACUCCAUUCCUCGUGCUGCUGUGACAAAUAGGCUACUACAUCAAAUGGUUCUUCAUCUACAGUGGAUGUGGAAUAUUUAUGAGUUUAAAUGUUGUUUGUUCAUGUUUUAUCAAUAAUAAAAGGCAUUCCUAUA